CGCGGGGCUUGUCCGGGAGCGAACCGCCUAUCCCGCGGCGUGGCCGGCAGGGCGAGGGAGGGGGUUUUGCCCCGCGGCGCUGCGCUGGUGAGACCCCACCUGCGGCGCGGUGUCCCCGCGGAGAGCAGUGACGGGUGGUGUCUGUCAGCGGUCGGUGUUGGGGCCGAUGCUGUUCAGUGACGGGGACAGCGGGAUCGAGGGCACCCCCAGCAAGUUUGCUGAUGACACCGAGCCCUGUGUGCAGUUGCCAUGCUGGAGGAAAGGGAUGCCAUCCAGAGGGACCUUGACACAGCUGAGAGAUGUGCUUGUGUGAACCUCAUGGAGUUCAACAAAGCGAAGCACAAGGUGUGAGGGAGGGGAUUCACCCCUCUGCUCUGGGACACCCCACCUGGAACGCUGCAUCCAGCUCGGGGGUGCUCAGCACAGGAAGGACAUUGGACUGUUGGAGCGGAUCUGCUGGGCUGCCGAGAUGACUAGAGGGAUGGACCACCUGUACUGUGAGGAAAGGCUGACAGAACUGGGAUUGUUCAGCCUAGAAAAGGGAAGGCUUUGGGAUGACCUAAUUGCAGCUUUCUAGUGCUGAAGGGAACUUACGAGGAAGACGAAACUCCUGUUCAAAGUAGAAUUGUAGAAAACACCUCUGUUUCAGAACAUUAUACCCUAGACCCGAACAAGAUACCUCCAAUAGACAAAGCAACCUUCAAGCCCAGAACUUUGGACAAGCUCCAAGGGCUAUAUGCAGUACCACGAAGAAGAUGAAGGUGAGGAAAAAGGGGUCUCAAGGACCCCUGAUUCAAUUUCCAGAGGGACGUGGCGGGGGCAGAGCUGGGAAGGAUCUGGGGAGGGUGGAUGAAUCCGGGAUUGAAUGGACCAUACUGUAAAGUUGUAGAACCGCUGCCUGGGUGCACAUGAGUGUCUGUGUAUUCCCCUGGGCCUGAGGGCUGUUAUUAAAAGACCUGCUCUUAUCUAAUGCUAAA
This is a long non-coding RNA of Pipra filicauda (Wire-tailed manakin), 977 nucleotides long. RefSeq lists it as uncharacterized. The record is from RefSeq and is a predicted model, not a curated record. Lineage: Eukaryota; Metazoa; Chordata; Aves; Passeriformes; Pipridae. The transcript has 2 exons.